CCGAAUAUUCGGCUGAGAUCCGGAACCAAGUGAUACCUCCAAAUCGAAGGAAUUACAUGGAACCGGUCGUUCUCUCUUUCUCCUCUCCCGCGACCCCUUGUCUCGCCGUCUGGUGCGCCGCCGCCCCCUCGUCUCAGCCCCUCCCUCUCCGGUACACCGCCCCCUCGUCUCGCCGUCUAGUGCGCCGCCGCACCUCGUCUGGGCCCUCCCUCUCCGGGGAAGAAGAGGAGCACGUGCAGCCGGCGAGCAGCUGCGUGGCUGCAGUCAUGCAACGGGUUGCAGCGGGGCUACAUCAACGGCAGAGGGUCGCCCAGCACCUGGAUUUGCACCUGAUUUCGAUCAAGAGAGUGCUAACCUCGCUUCAGGAGGGCCAAUUGUUCAGAAUGUAACCAUACUUUUUGGCGAAUGAACUUGCCAUCUUACGAAAUUGUGUUCUAUGUGAUGUAAUACAUAUAUCAUGCUUGUGAAUAUAUACUGUUAUAUUGUUUUUUUUAAAUACAAAUGAAAUGUUGCCGAAA
Molecule: long non-coding RNA, 518 nt
Organism: Triticum aestivum (bread wheat)
Lineage: Eukaryota; Viridiplantae; Streptophyta; Magnoliopsida; Poales; Poaceae
Exons: 3
Source: RefSeq, a predicted model, not a curated record